RNAcentral lists this long non-coding RNA (749 nucleotides) under Malus domestica (apple). RNAcentral's name for it is "long non-coding RNA (MDOM_LNC000350)". The record is from RNAcentral. Lineage: Eukaryota; Viridiplantae; Streptophyta; Magnoliopsida; Rosales; Rosaceae.
CCCAACACAUUCACCUACCACUACAUCCACUCAUUUCACCCAACACAUCCAUUCUCCAAACAUCCACCCACUACACCCAUUACAUCCACUCAUUACCACAACCCAUUACGCCCAUUACAUCCACUCAUUACCAAACAUCCACCCACUACACCCAUUACAUCCACUUAUUACCAAACACUACUCAUUACCAAACAUUCAUCCACUACACCCAUUACAUCCACUUAUUACCAAACAUCCACCCACUACACCCAUUACAUCCACCCACUACACCCAUUACAUCCACUCAUUACCAAACAUCCACCCACUACACCCAUUACAUCCACUCAUUACCAAACACUCAUCCACUACACCCAUUACAUCCACUCAUUACCAAACAUCUACCCACUACACCCAUUAUAUCCACUCAUUACCACAACCCACUACACCCAUUACAUCCACUCAUUACCAAACAUUCACCCAUUACACCCAUUACAUCCACUCAUUACAACUCCAUACACUCCUCUCCCUAGCCUAUAAAUACAUCCACCCUUCACCAUAAUUUGGAUUCCAUCUCCAUCCAAAGACACUACAUUUUCACAUCUCACCAAUCCAUACACUUUCAUCUCUUAGCCAUGCAAAUCCAUUCCAUCCAUAUAUCCAUAUACAUCCUAGACACUUGUGCUACAACAAGGUGGUGAAAACAAAGGUCCUUGGCAUUUCAAGCUUGGAACUUUGGAGCAUUUUAGGUGUACUUCAUUCUUACUUUCAAU